This 453-nucleotide ribosomal RNA is filed under the name Fusobacterium sp. canine oral taxon 236. Its description in RNAcentral is "bacterial SSU rRNA". It matches the Rfam family "Bacterial small subunit ribosomal RNA", at positions 9 to 474 of the family's 1533-position model. The record is from RNAcentral. Lineage: Bacteria; Fusobacteriati; Fusobacteriota; Fusobacteriia; Fusobacteriales; Fusobacteriaceae.
GAGUUUGAUCCUGGCUCAGGAUGAACGCUGACAGAAUGCUUAACACAUGCAAGUCAACUUGAAUUUGGGUCCUAGACUUAGAUUUGGGUGGCGGACGGGUGAGUAACGCGUAAAGAACUUGCCUCACAGAUAGGGACAACAUUUGGAAACGAAUGCUAAUACCUGAUAUUAUGAUUUUAGGGCAUCCUAAGAUUAUGAAAGCUACAUGCGCUGUGAGAGAGCUUUGCGUCCCAUUAGCUAGUUGGAGAGGUAACGGCUCACCAAGGCGAUGAUGGGUAGCCGGCCUGAGAGGGUGAACGGCCACAAGGGGACUGAGACACGGCCCUUACUCCUACGGGAGGCAGCAGUGGGGAAUAUUGGACAAUGGACCAAGAGUCUGAUCCAGCAAUUCUGUGUGCACGAUGAAGUUUUUCGGAAUGUAAAGUGCUUUCAGUUGGGAAGAAAAGAAUGACG